Molecule: ribosomal RNA, 450 nt
Filed under: uncultured bacterium
Lineage: Bacteria
Description: bacterial SSU rRNA
Rfam family: Bacterial small subunit ribosomal RNA
Source: RNAcentral
GUGGGGAAUUUUGGACAAUGGGCGCAAGCCUGAUCCAGCAAUGCCGCGUGCAGGAAGAAGGCCUUCGGGUUGUAAACUGCUUUUGUACGGAACGAAACGGUCCGGGUUAAUACCCUGGGCUAAUGACGGUACCGUAAGAAUAAGCACCGGCUAACUACGUGCCAGCAGCCGCGGUAAUACGUAGGGUGCAAGCGUUAAUCGGAAUUACUGGGCGUAAAGCGUGCGUAGGUGGUUGUUCAAGUCUGUCGUGAAAGCCCUGGGCUCAACCUGGGAAUGGCGAUGGAAACUGGGCGACUAGAGUGCGGUAGAGGAUGGCGGAAUUCCCGGUGUAGCGGUGAAAUGCGUAGAUAUGCGGAGGAACACCGAUGGCGAAGGCAAUCCCCUGGGCCUGCACUGACGCUCAUGCACGAAAGCGUGGGGAGCAAACAGGAUUAGAUACCCCAGUAGUCC